UUGGGCGUAAAGCGUCCGCAGGUGGUUAAUCAAGUCUGCUGUUAAAGACAGAAGCUCAACUUCUGAUAGGCAGUGGAAACUGGGUAACUAGAGUAUGGUAGGGGUUGAGGGAAUUCCCAGUGUAGCGGUGAAAUGCGUAGAGAUUGGGAAGAACACCAGUGGCGAAGGCGCUCAACUGGGCCAUAACUGACACUCAGGGACGAAAGCUAGGGUAGCGAAAGGGAUUAGAUACCCCUGUAGUCUUAGCUGUAAACGAUGAACACUAGGCGUUGCUUGUAUCGACCCGAGCAGUGCCGUAGCCAACGCGUUAAGUGUUCCGCCUGGGGAGUACGCACGCAAGUGUGAAACUCAAAGGAAUUGACGGGGGCCCGCACAAGCGGUAA
Molecule: ribosomal RNA, 383 nt
Filed under: uncultured bacterium
Lineage: Bacteria
Description: bacterial SSU rRNA
Rfam family: Bacterial small subunit ribosomal RNA
Source: RNAcentral